GGGGAGGGAGGGAGGGAGGGAGGGUGGGUGGGAGGGAGCGAGGGAGCGAGGGAGGGAGGAAGGGAGGGAUCGGGUGAAGGGACAGACAGAGGGGUACAGAAAGAGGGGCGAAGACACAGAGACAGAGAAACAGAGAGAGAGAGAGAUGACAUUCAGUGUCAGUAUGUAUGCCUGAAGCAGAAAGAGAGUGGCCUGCUCUCUGAGCUGUACCCUGGUUAACUGCAGCUAGCCAAGCAGUCAUGCCUCUUUUAUUAGAUUUCAGAGAAUGAUGUCAUUUCUAAAGGUGCAGUGACUAUAUUAGCAAUUUUACAGUAAGUGAUGUCAUUGGAGAAUUAGUUUACUGGCCUAUGGUUGGCCAGAGAGAGCAUUCCGGGAAUGCAGGCAGCAGGAUAGAAGGGAUGUGGUAUAAUUCUAUUCAUCAGACUUAUUAUAGUACCACUCAGUGAUAAACUAAAUAAAGCCAGAGGAAAUCAUGAUGAUUCAAUCAUAACAACAGGAACUCCUGUACUGACCAACAUACACUGUAAACUGUUAACACUGACAGUAAGUAAACAUCAGAACAAAUUCAUCUAAACAGAAGAUCAAAACAGAAUUCAAACAAAUAUUAUGCUUUCAUUUCAUUGUAACAUAAUUGUUUAUAUUGAUAUUUUACACUCAGCAUUUAAAUGUAGUAAAAACAGGCAGGUUUCUAGAUUCUGAUUUAGAUUCUAUACUGUACUGGAGUUAGUAGCACACCAAUAGGGAUAUAGGGGGAGAGAGGGAGGGGAGGAAGAGAGAGAGAGAGAGAGAGAGAGAGAGAGAGGGGAGGGGAAAGAGAGAGAAAGAGAGAUGGAGAGAAAAAAGAGAGGCAGAGAGAGAAAAGAGAGAUAGUGGGGAAAUGGUAGUGUAUUUACAGCACAUCAAACAUUUUCUGUUUUCUGAGUAAAAAGAAUGUUAUAUAAUUAUAUAUAUAUAUAUAUUUAUAUAUUUAUAUUGAAAUCCCGCACUGUGACCGCACAGGGAUGCUGUUUUUGCAUGGGUGUGUUGUAUGGUACUGUGGUGGACUCUAGGGAGUUGUAUUGUAAUGUAAUGUAUUGUAAUACAUUGUAAUGUAGUAUAUUGUAUUGUAAUGUACUGUAUUGUAAUGUACUGUAUUGUAAUGUGUUAUAAUGUAUUGUAUUGUAUCGUAAUGUAUUAUAAUGUAUUGUAUUGUAUCGUAAUGUAUUAUAAUGUAUUGUAUUGUAAUGUACUGUAUUGUAAUGUGUUAUAAUGUAAUGUACUGUAUUGUAAUGUACUGUAUUGUAAUGCGUUAUAAUGUAUUGUAAUGUGUUAUAAUGUAAUGUAUUGUAUUGUAUUGUAAUGUAUUAUAAUGUAUUGUAUUGUAAUGUACUGUAUUGUAAUGUGUUAUAAUGUAUUGUAUUGUAUUGUAAUGUAUUAUAAUGUAUUGUAUUGUAUUGUAAUGUAUUAUAAUGUGUUAUAAUGUAUUAUAAUGUAUUGUAUUGUAACGUAUUGUAUUGUAUUGUAUUGUAAUGUGUUAUAAUGUAAUGUAUUGUAUUGUAUUGUAAUGUAUUAUAAUGUAUUGUAAUGUGUUAUAAUGUAUUGUAUUGUAUUGUAAUGUAUUAUAAUGUAAUGUAUUGUAAUGUAUUGUAUUGUAUUAUAAUGUAUUGUAAUGUAUUGUAUUGUAUUGU
Long non-coding RNA from Oncorhynchus tshawytscha (Chinook salmon), 1667 nucleotides. The record is from Ensembl. Lineage: Eukaryota; Metazoa; Chordata; Actinopteri; Salmoniformes; Salmonidae.